CAGCCGCCGCGGGAAUACGAAGGGUGCAAGCGUUAAUCGGAAUUACUGGGCGUAAAGCGUGCGUAGGCGGUUUGUUAAGUCUGCUGUGAAAUCCCCGGGCUCAACCUGGGAAUGGCAGUGGAUACUGGCAAGCUAGAGUGUGUCAGAGGAUGGUGGAAUUCCCGGUGUAGCGGUGAAAUGCGUAGAGAUCGGGAGGAACAUCAGUGGCGAAGGCGGCCAUCUGGGACAACACUGACGCUGAGGCACGAAAGCGUGGGGAGCAAACAGGAUUAGAUACCCGAGUAGUCCCUGUCUCUUAUAC
RNAcentral lists this ribosomal RNA (301 nucleotides) under uncultured bacterium. RNAcentral describes it as "partial 16S ribosomal RNA". It matches the Rfam family "Bacterial small subunit ribosomal RNA", at positions 509 to 807 of the family's 1533-position model. The record is from RNAcentral.